Molecule: ribosomal RNA, 398 nt
Filed under: uncultured bacterium
Lineage: Bacteria
Description: bacterial SSU rRNA
Rfam family: Bacterial small subunit ribosomal RNA
Source: RNAcentral
GGAAUUCAGUAGUGAUUCAGGCCUAACACAUGCAAGUCGAACGGCAGCGCGGAGCUUGCUCUGGUGGCGAGUGGCGAACGGGUGAGUAAUAUAUCGGAACGUACCCUAGAGUGGGGGAUAACGUAGCGAAAGUUACGCUAAUACCGCAUACGAUCUAAGGAUGAAAGUGGGGGAUCGCAAGACCUCAUGCUCGUGGAGCGGCCGAUAUCUGAUUAGCUAGUUGGUAGGGUAAAAGCCUACCAAGGCAUCGAUCAGUAGCUGGUCUGAGAGGACGACCAGCCACACUGGAGCUGAGACACGGUCCAGACUCCUACGGGAGGCAGCAGUGGGGAAUUUUGGACAAUGGGCGAAAGCCUGAUCCAGAAAGGCCGCGUGAGUGAAGAAGGCCUUCGGGUUGU